GGCUGGAUUGCUCAGUCAGCAGAGCAUGAGACUCUUAAUCCCAGGGUUGUGGGUUCAAGCCCCACAUUGGGUG
This 73-nucleotide transfer RNA is filed under the name Podarcis lilfordi (Lilford's wall lizard). RNAcentral describes it as "tRNA.Lys". It matches the Rfam family "tRNA". From Rfam's summary of the family: Transfer RNA (tRNA) molecules are approximately 80 nucleotides in length. Their secondary structure includes four short double-helical elements and three loops (D, anti-codon, and T loops). The record is from RNAcentral. Lineage: Eukaryota; Metazoa; Chordata; Lepidosauria; Squamata; Lacertidae.